Ovis aries (sheep) is the source of this 61-nucleotide regulatory RNA element. It matches the Rfam family "Selenocysteine insertion sequence 1". From Rfam's summary of the family: The incorporation of selenocysteine into a protein sequence is directed by an in-frame UGA codon (usually a stop codon) within the coding region of the mRNA. Selenoprotein mRNAs contain a conserved secondary structure in the 3' UTR that is required for the distinction of UGA stop from UGA selenocysteine. Lineage: Eukaryota; Metazoa; Chordata; Mammalia; Artiodactyla; Bovidae. The record is from Rfam.
GCCAGAUGAUGAGGACCUGUGCGGAAACCCCCCGCGGGCUGCCCAUGUCUGAGCCCCUGGC